AAGGGCGCAUGGUGAAUGCCUUGGUACUAGGAGCCGAUGAAGGACGGGACUAACACCGAUAUGCUUCGGGGAGCGGUAAGUACGCUUUGAUCCGGAGAUUUCCGAAUGGGGCAACCCAAUCAGCUUAGUCGUUGAUUACUUGACUAGUGAAU
Molecule: small RNA, 152 nt
Filed under: Limosilactobacillus reuteri MM4-1A
Lineage: Bacteria; Bacillati; Bacillota; Bacilli; Lactobacillales; Lactobacillaceae
Description: Lactobacillus reuteri MM4-1A non-coding RNA
Rfam family: Bacterial large subunit ribosomal RNA
Source: RNAcentral